AUUGAACGCUGGCGGCAGACCUAACACAUGCAAGUCGAGCGGAUGAAGGGAGCUUGCUCCUGGAUUCAGCGGCGGACGGGUGAGUAAUGCCUAGGAAUCUGCCUGGUAGUGGGGGAUAACGUCCGGAAACGGGCGCUAAUACCGCAUACGUCCUGAGGGAGAAAGUGGGGGAUCUUCGGACCUCACGCUAUCAGAUGAGCCUAGGUCGGAUUAGCUAGUUGGUGGGGUAAAGGCCUACCAAGGCGACGAUCCGUAACUGGUCUGAGAGGAUGAUCAGUCACACUGGAACUGAGACACGGUCCAGACUCCUACGGGAGGCAGCAGUGGGGAAUAUUGGACAAUAGGCGAAAGCCUGAUCCAGCCAUGCCGCGUGUGUGAAGAAGGUCUUCGGAUUGUAAAGCACUUUAAGUUGGGAGGAAGGGCAGUAAGUUAAUACCUUGCUGUUUUGACGUUACCAACAGAAUAAGCACCGGCUAACUUCGUG
RNAcentral lists this ribosomal RNA (484 nucleotides) under uncultured bacterium. RNAcentral's name for it is "partial 16S ribosomal RNA". It matches the Rfam family "Bacterial small subunit ribosomal RNA", at positions 30 to 507 of the family's 1533-position model. The record is from RNAcentral.